ACCAACCAAUGGAAAAGCUGUCAUUUUAGGGAGUAAAGAACAAAGGUAACUUACUUUCCAAAUAAUCUUCUAAAUACAGCAUUUUGGUGGGAUUUGUAAAGAUUUAAUUAAUUAAACAACACUCUAGAUAUCAGUUAAACAUGAUUCGACGACCGUUGACGGAAAUUACUUUAAAACUUGACGAUUUACAAGAAUAUGAAACGAUGCGACGAGAUCAGGGCAGCAGUAACUCUUCAACAGCAGAAAUGCAGGAGGACACGACAAAACCUCUUUGUCCGGGCACCAAGACUCAGGAGGAAAUCCAUAAUAGAAUCGGCUACGCGCCGAAGAAGAAAUCUCGGGGUGUCAGCACGGUUUAAAAUAAAUAAAAUAAUGUUUAAUUAA
Molecule: long non-coding RNA, 384 nt
Organism: Cydia pomonella (codling moth)
Lineage: Eukaryota; Metazoa; Arthropoda; Insecta; Lepidoptera; Tortricidae
Exons: 2
Source: RefSeq, a predicted model, not a curated record